GACGAACGCUGGCGGCGUGCUUAACACAUGCAAGUCGAACGGAAAGGCACUGCUUUUGUGGGGUGCUCGAGUGGCGAACGGGUGAGUAACACGUGAGUAACCUGCCCUUGACUUUGGGAUAACUUCAGGAAACUGGGGCUAAUACCGGAUAGGAGCUCCUGCUGCAGGGUGGGGGUUGGAACGUUUCGGCGGGUGGGGAUGGACGCGCGGCUUAUCAGCUUGUUGGUGGGGUAGUGGCUUACCAAGGCUGUGACGGGUAGCCGGCCUGAGAGGGUGACCGGCCACAUUGGGACUGAGAUACGGCCCAGACUCCUACGGUAGGCAGCAGUGGGGAAUAUGGCACAAUGGGCGGAAGCCUGAUGCAGCAACGCCGCGUGCGGGAUGACGGCCUUCUGGGUGUAAACCGCUUUCGCCUGUGACGAAGCGUGAGUGACGGUAAUGGGUAAAGAAGCACCGGCUAACUACGUG
Molecule: ribosomal RNA, 468 nt
Filed under: uncultured bacterium
Lineage: Bacteria
Description: partial 16S ribosomal RNA
Rfam family: Bacterial small subunit ribosomal RNA
Source: RNAcentral